UGGGAUUUGAUCUCAGCUGGCCACCGUGCUGAUGACAUCUUUCAACCUGCUGGGCUAGCAGGAUAUUGAGAAUUCCAGGAGAAACGAGGUGCCGGGGAGGUGUCAUGGUGCCCCAGACCUCUGUGUCAAAAGAGAACCCCCAGAGCAAGAAACAGGAAACAUCGAGUGCAG
Pan troglodytes (chimpanzee) is the source of this 171-nucleotide long non-coding RNA. RefSeq lists it as uncharacterized. The record is from RefSeq and is a predicted model, not a curated record. The transcript is spliced from 2 exons. Lineage: Eukaryota; Metazoa; Chordata; Mammalia; Primates; Hominidae.